This 1657-nucleotide long non-coding RNA is filed under the name Olea europaea subsp. europaea. Lineage: Eukaryota; Viridiplantae; Streptophyta; Magnoliopsida; Lamiales; Oleaceae. The record is from RNAcentral.
AAUUUAUAGAUUUUUUAGGAGUUAACAUAGGAGAAGGUAAAAUUAAGUUACACCCCAUACAGAUUCUUUUGGUAAAGUAUACUCUAUACUUUUACCACAAUUUGUCUCAAAACUAAUCUUACUAUUUGAUUGUAAUAAUUCUUUAUAAGUAUAAAGUUCUCCAUCCAUUUGUUGUGCUUCUAUUGGUUUAUCUGACUAUAUUAUAUAUUGUUCUGGUAUUAGUUUUUUAUUAAUUAUACAAUUACUACAUUCUGAGUCUAUUAAUCCUAAACAUUUUAAGAUGACUGUUUAACUUUUAAUAGCUUCAAUCCUACUCAGUACUCUCCUUAGUUUUCUAUAAAUCUUUCUUAAGAAUCGUGUAUAAAUCCCUUUUUUUUUUUUAAAUUUUCACCACCUAUGACAUAUAAACUUGAACCUGAUUUCUUUUUAUAAGGUUACCCGUGGCACUCCCUUAUAAAAUUCUUAGAUUAAUUUUUUCCCUUUCCCCAGCAUCUCUAGAAAAUAUCAAAAAGGCUCACUCCGGCCAAAAGUUUUCAUUCAUCUGGGUCACUCGGGAUUAACCUAAAAAUAGUAUGGCUUCUAGAAAUCAAGUUAUGCUUUUAUUAUAUGCAUAGGAUGAAAUGAUAAACAUAACAGAUAUUUACUUAAAACAUAAAUACAAAAAUAUGAACAUAAACUAAUAAAACAUAAAUCAGGGAUUUAUAAAUUCAUCUUUUAAAAAGAUUUACAGCUAAGGAUUUCCCUUUCGGGAAGUCCCUAAAGUUCUAAAAUAAACUUAAAGAAAUACAAUAAUACCUUAAGUAUUCACAAGGAUGAUUCAGCUAUAUAAUGAUUUUUUGGAUUGAGAAUUUUUCUGAGAAAGGUUUCAAAAGGUUUUUGGAUAGCAGAGAGUACACAGGUUGUAAACUUCUGCCUAAACCAAAUGAAACUUGUUUCUUAAAUAGAAAAAUUUUUGGGAGCAAAAAGUCUAAAAUAUCCUUGAAAAGAGCACACGUUUCACCGAGAAACUUCUGGCUAAUUCAAGAUAAAUCUAACAAGUGGAAAGAAAAUUUCCUACUUUUACAAAAGUCUAAAAGUCUAUAGUUUAGGAAUCUUGAAAUUUUCACUAAUUUGCUUAAAAUUCUAAAAGUUUCUGACAUCUUUUUUGAAAAUAAUCAAAAGGCCUAUAGUAUUGUGAUAAGAAUCUUCAGCUUUUCCUUUUUUUCUUCCAUCACUUUUAUCUUGUUCUGCAUUAUUGAGGAUCUGAUUAUGUACUGAGAUUAUGACGUGCCACUGAUGAAAAUGACAUUCCACUAUCUGAAUUAUUGUAUCCUUCUUCAUGUGGAUCUUCGUCUUCAUCUGAAAGUCUGGAGUUACUGGCUUCAUCUUUUUCUUUCUGAUCUGGACAUUCUGCAAUUUCUUUUUCUUCUUCAUGGCUCUUUUUUAAUAUUGUCUCGAAUGCUUGGUUAACUGCUUCUCUUAUUUGUUCUUUUAGUUCUUCAUCAUUUUUCUUCUUUUUAAUCUUUUUCUUUUUUCAAUAAGACUUUUUUCUUCUAAGCAUUUUAUACAUGCUUCUUUAUAACAUUCUAAACAUUUAGCUCUAAGCUUUCUUACUGGGUACCAAUUACAUAAAUAACAAGCUAUAUUGUCUGCUCCUUUAUAUUUUUGCCAAUUAUGU